Ailuropoda melanoleuca (giant panda) is the source of this 528-nucleotide long non-coding RNA. RefSeq lists it as uncharacterized. The transcript is spliced from 4 exons. The record is from RefSeq and is a predicted model, not a curated record. NCBI's taxonomy places the organism in Eukaryota, Metazoa, Chordata, Mammalia, Carnivora, Ursidae.
AGUCAGCAUAAAUAACUAAUGCAAAGUGUAGCUGAAGAGUCGACAAGCUCAGAUUCCUUGAAUACUGAAGGAGGACACAAAAUAGAAGAAUUGAAAUCUUGCGGACGCUAAGAAUUAUUCAUCUUUAAUGAGCUUCUUAAAAUAUGUAAGGAAAACAGUUACAUCAAACCAGACCUUGUAACACAGAUUGAAUCUUCCUCUUUAUCACUGUCUUGGAAGAAUUCUCUCCAAUCAGUUUUUCCAAAAGAUUGUCAUCAUGGCCAAGCAAUAAGAUGCUUUCUGUGCCAUCUGAUAGCAUCAUGACUGCACUCAUCUCUAGUUCCUUUGGUGAUUCGUUUCACUCCAGUCAUUUCUGAGGGGACCGUCUGCCUGUGGGCUUUGCCCAUCUGCAGUAAAGGUGACAAGCAGUUCAUAAUUCCAGAGAACACCUCUCUGCCAACAAAAAAAGGUGCAAUAUAGCCACAGCAUUAAAAUAAGGAUAUGCAUCACAGCCAAAGCUGCCUCACAGCAAAGUAUUUGGAGAGGCCA